This 465-nucleotide ribosomal RNA is filed under the name uncultured bacterium. Its description in RNAcentral is "partial 16S ribosomal RNA". It matches the Rfam family "Bacterial small subunit ribosomal RNA", at positions 28 to 507 of the family's 1533-position model. The record is from RNAcentral.
GACGAACGCUGGCGGCGUGCUUAACACAUGUAAGUCGAACGGAAAGGCCCUGCUUGCAGGGUCCUCGAGUGGCGAACGGGUGAGUAACACGUGGGUGAUCUGCCCUGCACUUCGGGAUAAGCCUGGGAAACUGGGUCUAAUACCGGAUAGGAGCCAUUUUUAGUGUGAUGGUUGGAAAGUUUUUUCGGUGUAGGAUGAGCUCGCGGCCUAUCAGCUUGUUGGUGGGGUAAUGGCCUACCAAGGCGGCGACGGGUAGCCGGCCUGAGAGGGUGGACGGCCACAUUGGGACUGAGAUACGGCACAGACUCCUACGGGAGGCAGCAGUGGGGAAGAUUGAACAAUGGGCGCAAGCCUGAUGCAGCGACGCCGCGUGGGGGAUGACGGCCUUCGGGUUGUAAACUCCUUUCGCUAGGGACGAAGCUUUUUGUGACGGUACCUAGAGAAGAAGCACCGGCUAACUACGUG